CAUAUUGAGGUCUGGUAUGAUGAAAUUUUGGGUAGAAACUGUCUUAAUAUAUUUUUUAUAAUUUAAUAUGCAAGUGAAAAUACUUGCUUUAAUAUAAAAGACGAGAAGACCCUAGAAACUUAUAUUAUUUUUGUUGGGGCGACAGGAUUACAGUUAACUAAUCUUACUUAACGUGACGUUUAACAGUUAGAAAAAGUUACUCUAGGGAUAACAGCAA
This 217-nucleotide ribosomal RNA is filed under the name Cornu mazzullii. RNAcentral's name for it is "Erctella mazzullii partial 16S ribosomal RNA". The record is from RNAcentral. Lineage: Eukaryota; Metazoa; Mollusca; Gastropoda; Stylommatophora; Helicidae.